AAUCCACAUCAUGCUCUAAAUUUGUAUAGUCACUUUGAGUCUUUAUUCAUUUCGUUAUGUCUCUGAUGUACAGUAGUGUUAUUAGAGAAUAAGAUGACAAAAAGGCACAAAUUCACAAUAAAAGAAAAAAAAUAGGAGACAAGGUAACAGGAGUGAGAGAAAAAGAGAGACAGAGAGAUUUAAAAAGUUCAGGAUUAUGGAAUCAUUUGGUUUCUUCAUACUCCAAUUAAAAAUCAAGGAAUCUAAAAAGAGAUAUAUUAGAUUGUCUCUGUUAAAAUAUGUUCUCUCAUAACUUUUGUGUCUUUGAGCUCUUAAAAUCACCCUUCUCUCAGCAUCUGCUUGGAAACCACAUUCCUUAUCAGGGUUCUUCUGUGCUUCCAUUGAAGGCCAUGUAGGAUAAUCACCCUUCACGUCUAACGACGGGAGCGCUACAAUCCGACAUGCAUCGGGGAUCCACUUCGAUGACUUUGCCAUGAUGUGGAUGAAUGCACUGACCCAAGCUACAGUAACAUCUACCUUUUCAGUGAGAGAAGAGAGUGUAAUCCAGAGACUGACAACAGAGGUUCAUGGUCCCAGUGGGAUUGGAAAUCUCUGCAGCCAUUGAUGACAGAAGCUGAUUACAGCCUGGACAAGCUGGCAGGUCAUUACAUGGUCUGAACUUAUUUAAAAAAAAAAAAAUGUC
Poecilia latipinna (sailfin molly) is the source of this 682-nucleotide long non-coding RNA. RefSeq lists it as uncharacterized. The record is from RefSeq and is a predicted model, not a curated record. Lineage: Eukaryota; Metazoa; Chordata; Actinopteri; Cyprinodontiformes; Poeciliidae. The transcript has 2 exons.